RNAcentral lists this ribosomal RNA (491 nucleotides) under uncultured bacterium. Its description in RNAcentral is "partial 16S ribosomal RNA". It matches the Rfam family "Bacterial small subunit ribosomal RNA", at positions 29 to 507 of the family's 1533-position model. The record is from RNAcentral.
GUGAACGCUGGCGGUAGGCCUAACACAUGCAAGUCGAACGGCAGCACAGUAAGAGCUUGCUCUUACGGGUGGCGAGUGGCGGACGGGUGAGGAAUACAUCGGAAUCUACUUUUUCGUGGGGGAUAACGUAGGGAAACUUACGCUAAUACCGCAUACGACCUACGGGUGAAAGCCGGGGAUCUUCGGACCUUGCGCGAUUGAAUGAGCCGAUGUCGGAUUAGCUAGUUGGCGGGGUAAAGGCCCACCAAGGCGACGAUCCGUAGCUGGUCUGAGAGGAUGAUCAGCCACACUGGAACUGAGACACGGUCCAGACUCCUACGGGAGGCAGCAGUGGGGAAUAUUGGACAAUGGGCGCAAGCCUGAUCCAGCCAUACCGCGUGGGUGAAGAAGGCCUUCGGGUUGUAAAGCCCUUUUGUUGGGAAAGAAAAGCAGCAGGUUAAUACCCCGCUGUUCUGACGGUACCCAAAGAAUAAGCACCGGCUAACUUCGUG